AAGGAAAUGACAGACUGGUUAUGUGGUUAACUUGAAAUUAAAAUAAGGGGGUUCAACUCCCUCUUUCCUGA
Molecule: transfer RNA, 71 nt
Filed under: Pseudoeurycea firscheini (Firschein's false brook salamander)
Lineage: Eukaryota; Metazoa; Chordata; Amphibia; Caudata; Plethodontidae
Description: tRNA-Ser
Rfam family: tRNA
About the family: Transfer RNA (tRNA) molecules are approximately 80 nucleotides in length. Their secondary structure includes four short double-helical elements and three loops (D, anti-codon, and T loops).
Source: RNAcentral